This is a long non-coding RNA of Anas platyrhynchos (mallard), 475 nucleotides long. RefSeq lists it as uncharacterized. The record is from RefSeq and is a predicted model, not a curated record. NCBI's taxonomy places the organism in Eukaryota, Metazoa, Chordata, Aves, Anseriformes, Anatidae.
CAGCAAUGCACUGCAAGAUGCUGCCUCUCCAGCUCCUGGCUCAUCCUCUAAGACUCAUGUUAUAAUUGCAAGGCACUGACUCAUUGAGGAGCUGUGAGGAGAUGGGAUGGAAAUCCAUAGCUGAGACUUCUUAGACCUGCCCUGGUCUCUACCUCUGGAACUCUGGACUGCCAGCAGGGGCCCAGGCCAGCAGCAGCCUGCAGGAUAUUGUAGUGGAUUUUGCUGAGAUCUUUGCAGCUUCCACCAAGAAGUUCAGUAACAUCAUCCAUCCUGAACCUUGCAGGGCACCCAACUCAUCAUCCUGCUCUGCAGGGCAUGCAGGCUGAGCUGGCUGGGGCUUGAGGAACGGAAAUGCAAAUGUCUGGAUGAGAAGAUGACAGUGGAAAGGAUGAGAAACUGUAGUGUGAACCAGUUUCCUGGAGUGAGAUGAUCACAUCCUGCCUGUUGCAGCAAGUAGCCUGCAAGGAGAGGAGGA